Molecule: long non-coding RNA, 522 nt
Organism: Mauremys mutica (yellowpond turtle)
Lineage: Eukaryota; Metazoa; Chordata; Testudines; Geoemydidae
Exons: 4
Source: RefSeq, a predicted model, not a curated record
GUUGCUAGUCAGGGUGUGGCAUCCUAGAAGAGUCCAGUUGAAUGAAAGAAUAGUGCCAGUCAAAGAAAUAGAUAGGCUACCUCAUACAUUAUUUUAAUUAACUAUCUUUCUCUUUCAGGUCUCCAAGAUUUUGGAGUAACUUUUUGUGGUGAGACUGACUUUGGGGGUUGUUUCAUCUGACUAGAACACAUCUUCAAAAGCCAAAUAAGAAAUCAAAGCAGGAUGUAUUCAGCAAGGUCCUCGGUCAGCUCUUAGUCCAUGCUGACCAUAGCCUGGGUUCCAUGCUUCCACCUCUGAAAAAGAGCACCACUGAAACAUCACAUUUGCCCAUGAUUCUGCCAUCAGUGAUAUACCCCCAGUUAUGACUACACUUGAACCUCAAGGUCAGAGCCAUGAAAGCGACGGGGAGAAAGCUGGACCAUCACAGACCAGCAGCAAUGCACAUGCUAGUAAACCUGGGCUUUCAGUGGCAGCUCAUGCUUUGUCCAGCCAUCCUGAGAGUGGGAGCAACAAAGUGAAUAU